AUUGAACGCUGGCGGCAUGCCUUACACAUGCAAGUCGGACGGUAACAGGUCUUCGGAUGCUGACGAGUGGCGAACGGGUAAGUAAUACAUCGGAACGUGCCUAGUAGUGGGGGAUAACUACUCGAAAGAGUGGCUAAUACCGCAUGAGAUCUACGGAUGAAAGCAGGGGAUCGCAAGACCUUGUGCUACUAGAGCGGCCGAUGGCAGAUUAGGUAGUUGGUGGGAUAAAAGCUUACCAAGCCGACGAUCUGUAGCUGGUCUGAGAGGACGAUCAGGCACACUGGGACUGAGAAACGGCCCAGACUCCUACGGGAGGCAGCAGUGGGGAAUUUUGGACAAUGGGCGCAAGCCUGAUCCAGCAAUGCCGCGUGCAGGAUGAAGGCCUUCGGGUUGUAAACUGCUUUUGUACGGAACGAAAAGCCCCGGGUUAAUACCCUGGGGUCAUGACGGUACCGUAAGAAUAAGCACCGGCUAACUACGUGCCAGCAGCCGCAGUAA
Molecule: ribosomal RNA, 498 nt
Filed under: uncultured bacterium
Lineage: Bacteria
Description: partial 16S ribosomal RNA
Rfam family: Bacterial small subunit ribosomal RNA
Source: RNAcentral